This 450-nucleotide ribosomal RNA is filed under the name uncultured bacterium. RNAcentral describes it as "bacterial SSU rRNA". It matches the Rfam family "Bacterial small subunit ribosomal RNA", at positions 335 to 799 of the family's 1533-position model. The record is from RNAcentral.
ACUCCUACGGGAGGCAGCAGUGGGGAAUAUUGCACAAUGGGCGCAAGCCUGAUGCAGCAACGCCGUGUGAGUGAAGAAGGUUUUCGGAUCGUAAAACUCUGUCCUAAGGGAAGAAACAAAUGACGGUACCUUAGGAGGAAGCCCCGGCUAACUACGUGCCAGCAGCCGCGGUAAUACGUAGGGGGCAAGCGUUAUCCGGAAUCACUGGGCGUAAAGGGUGCGUAGGCGGCUUAGCAAGCCAGGGGUGAAAGGCAUUGGCUCAACCAAUGUAAGCCUUUGGAACUGUUAAGCUUGAGUGCAGGAGAGGUAAGUGGAAUUCCUAGUGUAGAGGUGAAAUUCGUAGAUAUUAGGAGGAACACCAGUGGCGAAGGCGACUUACUGGACUGUAACUGACGCUGAUGCACGAAAGCGUGGGUAGCGAACAGGAUUAGAUACCCUUGUGGCACAGAG